UCCAGUAGGGCUGGAUGAAGACCACCACGCUGAUGAUGGCGAAGCAGAUGGUGAAGAUGGCCCAGAGCACCCCGAUGGCCCGCGAGUUCCGCGUGUAGUUGUCAUGUCGUCCCUGCAGUUCAGGCUGAACCUAUCCCACUCUGGCCUCGCCAGGACACAAGGCAAGGCUGGUCCACGUUAGAAGCGCUGCGUCGGGUGAAAAUGCUCUAUGCCGAGGGGAGAGAGCUCCCGUCGGAGAGGUGGUAGCUGUCUUGAUGGGAGCAACUCUCCCCAGACCUACUGCUGAGAACCCUCUCAACCCACACCUGGAUCCCCCCCCACUAAGAUCCUGCCUUGCUGAGCUGCCUGCCCACACCUGGAUCCCCCCACGA
Molecule: long non-coding RNA, 371 nt
Organism: Caretta caretta (loggerhead turtle)
Lineage: Eukaryota; Metazoa; Chordata; Testudines; Cheloniidae
Source: RefSeq, a predicted model, not a curated record